This is a long non-coding RNA of Lemur catta (Ring-tailed lemur), 1161 nucleotides long. RefSeq lists it as uncharacterized. The record is from RefSeq and is a predicted model, not a curated record. NCBI's taxonomy places the organism in Eukaryota, Metazoa, Chordata, Mammalia, Primates, Lemuridae. The transcript is spliced from 3 exons.
GUCUAUUACUAAUGCAUUAAUUUAGUGUAGUGUUUUGUUAAGAAAGGUAGAUUUUCUUCAUUCAACACUAUUUACUGAAUUCCUACUGUUUGCUGGUACUGUUCUAAGUGUUAAAGAGCUGUUACAGAAGUGAAUAAAACAAAGUCUUUGCUGUAAUGGAGUUUAAAUUCUAGUAGGGUGGACACUCAACCAACAGAUAAAAAUAAUCUUUGGGUGACAGUAAAUGCUAGGGAGAAAAAUAAAGCUGGAUAAGGGAGAUAGAAAGUGAUGGAGAUAUUCAAAGCUUUCAUUUUAGAGCUUGAAAGAUCGAUUGCAGGGUGGUGGUUGCCGAAACCAGCAGUUAGAGGGAAAGAAGGAAAGCAGCGUAUCAGCAGGGCUCAGUUGCAGGAAACAAAAACCACUGUAGCUAUUUUAAGCAGAAAGGCAUUGACUAGAGAGCAGCAGGUGUUUACAACUUUGUUGGGAGGCCUGGAAGAGCCAGCUUUCUGGGUGCUUCCACCUCUGCCACCAAUGUCAAGGUAGGAACUCAGGACACUGGAAAUCACCGGAAAUACUGACUGUGAGGACACUUUGCUUUACCUGAAAUCUGCUCAUCAGGAAGUUCCUGCCACCACCACCUUAACUGUCCCUCGACACCCAUGAAAUUAGUGGCUAACCAUUGGGGCACCACUUCAGAAUGUCCGUGUCUCCAUAAUCGUGUUUGCCGAGGAUCACAGCCAGAUCAGCAGGAAAGUGGCUCCUGCCUCCACUCUGACUUCCAUAUCUCCUGGAUUUGGACAUGGACACAUCUUUUGGAGGCCAUUAUUCAAUCCACUACAGGGCUUCCAGGCAAAAAGAUUACUUGUAAGGACACAGCGUAACUAAUAUCUCCCUUUGAAGCACAGCCUGUUGGAUGAUUACAAAUAAAAUGUGCUUUCAGAGACAAGCAUUGAGGGAUAGACAACUUCAAGUCUGCGGGUCUGGGUGGAGAGGUAUCUGAUGCUUCUGCUCCUUCAGGCCACUUGGUGUCCCGGCAGCUGGGCUAUGCGUUGUGUGCUAUGGCCUGUGAGACAUGCAAUGGCAUCACAGGGCCGUUCAGCAGGGUUAGUGGGAAAUAUGAGAAAUGAUAGGUUAGUUUCAUAUGAAAUAUGUGGGGAAAAUAAAAGCUGAGCAGUCACGUCC